RNAcentral lists this long non-coding RNA (1121 nucleotides) under Meleagris gallopavo (turkey). Its description in RNAcentral is "lncRNA (ENSMGAG00000021552.1)". Lineage: Eukaryota; Metazoa; Chordata; Aves; Galliformes; Phasianidae. The record is from RNAcentral.
AAAGAGAAAGCUUGUCUGAAAGAUAUUGGAUAUCCUGGGACAUGGGUUCUGAGCCUCUGAUGUGGACUUCGUAUCAAUUGAUACUUUCAAAGGGAUAACCGAGUGGUGUCAGCUGCAGGUGCUUGGACUGUCCAGUGUGUGAAGUGUAAAAUGAAAGGUUAAAGACCCUGGAGAACUGAAGCAGGAUGGAAAGGACGCACUCUGUAUCUGGAUGAAUAACAGACCUCUCUGCCUCCACACCCCAAGUAUAAAAUGGGGAUAACAAUACUUGUGGAAGUGUUGGGACUAUUUAAAUGUUUGUGAAGAGUUUUGAGCAUGAAAAGAGCUAAGUACUAUUAGAACUCCAUUUCUAUCUGUUGGUAUGGACAACCAGAAGGAUGAGAAAGGCAGGCUGCUCAGUGCAGCUUCUGCAGAGGACCUGAAAGUCCGAGGAAAAGAAAAAAGGAAAAGAAAACGUAGCAGAAGCAGAUCAUCAUCCGUUUCAUCCACAUCAUCUUCUAGCACUACAUCCACUUCUUCUUCCUCAUCGCAUUCGUCAUCAAGGUCGUCAUCUUCAAGUAGCAGAGGUAAGCUGAAGCUUUUGGGAAAAGUGGUUGCCAGUGAAAACUGAGGACAAAAAAUUAUUGGGCGCCUUAGCCUUCUCCAUGCGUGUUGUCGCCAGUUCUCCUAUCUUGUUUGUCAGAGAAGGUACACUCUCUUUAGUCUUCCUUUUUUGGCUCAGUACCUGUAGAAUCCUUUAUUCUUUGCUUCCCUUGCCAAGUCCUUCUGGUAUUACCGUGAGAGCAAAUUCUCAUUUUUAUUGUUUCUUUUGACAUGCUUGAGCUGCAUGUGUUGUUAGGAAGACAGAAAAAGAUUGCUUGAGCAGCCUUACCUUAGACAUUUUUAAGUUUUGAGCCUGGCUAUGCUCUGGUAUAUUCCUGUAAUGUUUUAUUUGGAAUUGUAAAGGAACUGCAGAGCUGACAGCUUGAAGGCAAUUGGUUGGAAGACAGGAUUGGAUUGUUUAACUGUCUUUCUAGGCUGACCUUCCUGUUCUCAAAGCUUGUGCUUCAAAGUCAAAUUCCUCGUAUAUCAGUUGUAAUCUUUAAAAUUCAUGAUCAGCUCAUAGUUUCUACUUUAAAAAA